Long non-coding RNA from Etheostoma spectabile (orangethroat darter), 128 nucleotides. RefSeq lists it as uncharacterized. The transcript is spliced from 3 exons. The record is from RefSeq and is a predicted model, not a curated record. Lineage: Eukaryota; Metazoa; Chordata; Actinopteri; Perciformes; Percidae.
CUGGGGUAUCAUUUAUAAACGUGGCGUACACACAGAAUGGGCCUGAAAAUGUGCGUACGGCACUUCACAAAAGGUUUUGAUUUAUAAAAAACAAACUUGACGGGAAAAUAACCUUCUUCUUAAUGAUU